Molecule: ribosomal RNA, 774 nt
Filed under: uncultured bacterium
Lineage: Bacteria
Description: bacterial SSU rRNA
Rfam family: Bacterial small subunit ribosomal RNA
Source: RNAcentral
AGAGUUUGAUCAUGGCUCAGGAUGAACGCUGGCGGCGUGCUUAACACAUGCAAGUCGAACGAUGACCCAGAGCUUGCUCUGGUGAUUAGUGGCGAACGGGUGAGUAACACGUGAGUAACCUGCCCCAGACUCUGGGAUAAGCACUGGAAACGGUGUCUAAUACCGGAUACGAGCUUCAGCCGCAUGGCUAGGAGUUGGAAAGAAUUUCGGUCUGGGAUGGACUCGCGGCCUAUCAGCUAGUUGGUGAGGUAAUGGCUCACCAAGGCGACGACGGGUAGCCGGCCUGAGAGGGUGACCGGCCACACUGGGACUGAGACACGGCCCAGACUCCUACGGGAGGCAGCAGUGGGGAAUAUUGCACAAUGGGCGCAAGCCUGAUGCAGCAACGCCGCGUGAGGGACGACGGCCUUCGGGUUGUAAACCUCUUUUAGUAGGGAAGAAGCGAAAGUGACGGUACCUGCAGAAAAAGCACCGGCUAACUACGUGCCAGCAGCCGCGGUAAUACGUAGGGUGCAAGCGUUAUCCGGAAUUAUUGGGCGUAAAGAGCUCGUAGGCGGUUUGUCGCGUCUGCUGUGAAAACUGGAGGCUCAACCUCCAGCCUGCAGUGGGUACGGGCAGACUAGAGUGCGGUAGGGGAGAUUGGAAUUCCUGGUGUAGCGGUGGAAUGCGCGAUAUCAGGAGGAACACCGAUGGCGAAGGCAGAUCUCUGGGCCGUAACUGACGCUGAGGAGCGAAAGCAUGGGGAGCGAACAGGAUUAGAUACCCUAGUAGUCC